Molecule: unclassified non-coding RNA, 337 nt
Filed under: soil metagenome
Description: partial contains 5.8S ribosomal RNA, internal transcribed spacer 2, and large subunit ribosomal RNA
Rfam family: 5.8S ribosomal RNA (bases 1-120)
Source: RNAcentral
GAUGAAGAACGCAGCGAAAUGCGAUAAGUAAUGUGAAUUGCAGAAUUCAGUGAAUCAUCGAAUCUUUGAACGCACAUUGCGCCCGCCAGUAUUCUGGCGGGCAUGCCUGUUCGAGCGUCAUUUCAACCAUCAAGCCCCCGGGCUUGUGUUGGGGACCUGCGGCUGCCGCAGGCCCUGAAAAGCAGUGGCGGGCUCGCUGUCACACCGAGCGUAGUAGCAUACAUCUCGCUCUGGGCGUGCUGCGGGUUCCGGCCGUUAAACUACCCUUUUAACCCAAGGUUGACCUCGGAUCAGGUAGGAAGACCCGCUGAACUUAAGCAUAUCAAUAAGCGGAGGA